GUGAGGAAUUUUCCGCAAUGGGCGAAAGCCUGACGGAGCAAUGCCGCGUGAAGGAUGAAGGCCUAUGGGUUGUAAACUUCUUUUCUCAGAAAAGAAUUAUGACGGUAUCUGAGGAAUAAGCAUCGGCUAACUCUGUGCCAGCAGCCGCGGUAAGACAGAGGAUGCAAGCGUUAUCCGGAAUGAUUGGGCGUAAAGCGUCUGUAGGUUGUUUAAAAAGUAUUCUGUCAAAGAUUAGGGCUUAACCCUAGAUAGGCAGAAUAAACUUUUAAGCUAGAGUGUGGUAGAGGCAGAGGGAAUUCCCGGUGGAGCGGUGAAAUGCGUAGAUAUCGGGAGGAACACCAAAGGCGAAGGCACUCUGCUGGGCCAAUACUAACACUGAGAGACGAAAGCGAGGGGAGCAAAUGGGAUUAGAAACCCGAGUAGUCC
Molecule: ribosomal RNA, 426 nt
Filed under: uncultured bacterium
Lineage: Bacteria
Description: bacterial SSU rRNA
Rfam family: Bacterial small subunit ribosomal RNA
Source: RNAcentral